UACGUAGGCAGCGAGCGUUGUUCGGAGUUACUGGGCGUAAAGGGUGUGUAGGCGGUUUUUUAAGUUUGGUGUGAAAUCUCCCGGCUCAACCGGGAGGGUGCGCCGAAUACUGAGGGACUAGAGUACGGGAGAGGAAAGUGGAAUUCCUGGUGUAGCGGUGAAAUGCGUAGAUAUCAGGAGGAACACCGGUGGUGUAGACGGCUUUCUGGACCGUAACUGACGCUGAAACACGAAAGCGUGGGUAGCAAACAGG
Molecule: ribosomal RNA, 253 nt
Filed under: uncultured bacterium
Lineage: Bacteria
Description: partial 16S ribosomal RNA
Rfam family: Bacterial small subunit ribosomal RNA
Source: RNAcentral